GAGACAGCAGUAGCGCGGGAAUACGUAGGGUGCGAGCGUUAAUCGGAAUUACUGGGCGUAUAGCGUGCGCAGGCGGUUGUGUAAGACAGGUGUGAAAUCCCCGGGCUUAACCUGGGAACUGCGCUCGUGACUGCACAGCUAGAGUAUGGCAGAGGGGGGUGGAAUUCCACGUGUAGCAGUGAAAUGCGUAGAGAUGUGGAGGAACACCGAUGGCGAAGGCAGCCCCCUGGGCCAAUACUGACGCUCAUGCACGAAAGCGUGGGGAGCAAACAGGAUUAGAGACCCCAGUAGUCCCUGUCUCUUAUACA
This 308-nucleotide ribosomal RNA is filed under the name uncultured bacterium. RNAcentral's name for it is "partial 16S ribosomal RNA". It matches the Rfam family "Bacterial small subunit ribosomal RNA", at positions 505 to 808 of the family's 1533-position model. The record is from RNAcentral.